AGCAGAACAAUAGUGAUAGUUUUCAAUUGUUGUGCCGCAAGUUAACACCAAUUCACCUGCUUAAGACAACACAAAUGUAAUAUUUCCGUUUCUGUGGAUCAGGUGUCCAGGUCUCUGCUCAGAUCUCAGAAGGCUGAAAUCAAGGUGUCAGUCAGAGCUGCCAUCUCAUCGGAUGCCCAGAGCGAUUCUCCAAGCUCAUUCAGGGACUGCCCUUCACCACUUGCACCCAGCGUAAGUGGGACUGUCCAUCAGGAUGCUCCGUGGGAUGAUCAACUGACCCAUGCUAAGCUAAAGCUGCUUCUUGCCUGGAAUUUGAAAAUUGACAGCAAUAAUGCAAAGAGUAAAAGCAGUUGUUUAUUCAACCAAGGUUACAGAGUUCCCUGUUACUGCUCCAGAGCUUGUAUUUUUCCAAAACCUGCUUCCUUAGUUUUUCUUUCAAUUAUCUUAGGUACUCCCUAUCCUUCCAACAAAUUCCUUUUAUCUUCUUUAAUAUAUAAAAUUUUGAGCAAGACAAAUAAUCCAGAGAUUACUUGACUCCCAUGUCAAGCCCUGAUGACAACACAUUGUCUUCGGAGCCCUGACGAAGACUGGUAAGAUGAAAGGUGGCCCACCUGCCAUCUCUGGUUUCAUCCUUGUUGUCUGUCAAUUAUCUGGCCAGCUAUGUUGUCAUCCCCCAUUCAUAGGGCAAUAUAAAUAUUCUUCCUGCACAACAAACUGUCUGACCAGUUUGUGAUUUAACACCUUUCUCUGCAAUCUCUUAGCUUUUUUAUUGUAACAUGUAAAGAGUGUCCCCCCA
Molecule: long non-coding RNA, 796 nt
Filed under: Homo sapiens (human)
Lineage: Eukaryota; Metazoa; Chordata; Mammalia; Primates; Hominidae
Description: HSALNT0264648
Source: RNAcentral